GUUGUCCGAUUUGUUCGUGUUUU
RNAcentral lists this ribosomal RNA (23 nucleotides) under Hansenula anomala. Its description in RNAcentral is "Wickerhamomyces anomalus partial 28S ribosomal RNA". The record is from RNAcentral. Lineage: Eukaryota; Fungi; Ascomycota; Saccharomycetes; Phaffomycetales; Wickerhamomycetaceae.